Molecule: ribosomal RNA, 484 nt
Filed under: uncultured bacterium
Lineage: Bacteria
Description: partial 16S ribosomal RNA
Rfam family: Bacterial small subunit ribosomal RNA
Source: RNAcentral
AUUGAACGCUGGCGGCAUGCUUUACACAUGCCAGUCGAACGGCAGCGCGGGCUUCGGCCUGGCGGCGAGUGGCGAACGGGUGAGUAAUACAUCGGAACGUGCCCAGUAGUGGGGGAUAGCUCGGCGAAAGCCGGAUUAAUACCGCAUACGACCUGAGGGUGAAAGCGGGGGAUCUUCGGACCUCGCGCUAUUGGAGCGGCCGAUGGCAGAUUAGCUAGUUGGUGGGGUAAAGGCCUACCAAGGCGACGAUCUGUAGCUGGUCUGCGAGGACGACCAGCCAAACGGGGACUGAGACACGGCCCAGACUCCUACGGGAGGCAGCAGUGGGGAAUUUUGGACAAUGGGCGAAAGCCUGAUCCAGCAAUGCCGCGUGUGUGAUGAAGGCCUUCGGGUUGUAAAGCACUUUUGGCGGGAACGAAAAGGACUGUGCCAAUACCACGGUUCGAUGACGGUACCCGCAGAAUAAGCACCGGCUAACUACGUG